GGGUCGUUAGCUCAGUUGGUAGAGCAGUUGACUUUUAAUCAAUUGGUCACUGGUUCGAAUCCAGUACGACCCACCA
RNAcentral lists this transfer RNA (76 nucleotides) under Marinomonas communis. Its description in RNAcentral is "tRNA-Lys". It matches the Rfam family "tRNA". From Rfam's summary of the family: Transfer RNA (tRNA) molecules are approximately 80 nucleotides in length. Their secondary structure includes four short double-helical elements and three loops (D, anti-codon, and T loops). RNAcentral also lists the same sequence under 74 other names. Lineage: Bacteria; Pseudomonadati; Pseudomonadota; Gammaproteobacteria; Oceanospirillales; Oceanospirillaceae. The record is from RNAcentral.